RNAcentral lists this ribosomal RNA (318 nucleotides) under Vibrio parahaemolyticus. Its description in RNAcentral is "bacterial SSU rRNA". It matches the Rfam family "Bacterial small subunit ribosomal RNA", at positions 468 to 785 of the family's 1533-position model. The record is from RNAcentral. Lineage: Bacteria; Pseudomonadati; Pseudomonadota; Gammaproteobacteria; Vibrionales; Vibrionaceae.
UUUGACGUUAGCGACAGAAGAAGCACCGGCUAACUCCGUGCCAGCAGCCGCGGUAAUACGGAGGGUGCGAGCGUUAAUCGGAAUUACUGGGCGUAAAGCGCAUGCAGGUGGUUUGUUAAGUCAGAUGUGAAAGCCCGGGGCUCAACCUCGGAAUUGCAUUUGAAACUGGCAGACUAGAGUACUGUAGAGGGGGGUAGAAUUUCAGGUGUAGCGGUGAAAUGCGUAGAGAUCUGAAGGAAUACCGGUGGCGAAGGCGGCCCCCUGGACAGAUACUGACACUCAGAUGCGAAAGCGUGGGGAGCAAACAGGAUUAGAUAC